UUGAUUUUGUCCCCCCCCCCCUCUUCAAUGUGUUUUAUAUAAAAUCCAAUCUUAGGGUUUUUUUUAUUAUUAUUAUUGCGACACAUGAUUGACUAGCAAGGAGCCCGCUGCGGUGACGUCAGAGCAGGGCAGAUGUGCGCGCGAGCGACGCGCUUCCAGGCACGUGCACUCGUUGACAACAUUUAACGCCAGAUCACGUUGCGUCGCUCGGGUGCGCGCCUGCUGCGUCAUGAAGUGAUAUUCACGUGAAACGCGAGCUGAACAGAAACCCUGGUACGUAUGUGGACAGCGUGUUUUGUGUAUAUUUCGAGCUCGAUGGCGUGGAGAUGUGUAUUUGUUGUUGUUGUUUUUCUAACCCCAUUAUUGUCAUGCACGUACACGGUGCGUUUGGGUCGCGCGAAGAGUGAGGGGUGUGUGCGCGAGCGCUCGAGAGAGCGACUUGGGCGUUAGCGCGCGCUGUUUACGGGAUGAGCUCGUGCAGGAAUGACGCUUCCCCGCAUGGAUGCACGUUUGUGCUACUAUUUAUUGUACAUAUAAUAUAUAUAUAAAAAUAUAGUGUUUGGGUACUUUCCAGCUCCUAACCCCCCAAACACCCUGUCAUGCUUUAUUUAUCAGGUUCUAACCUCCAACUGCAUGGCAUUCCAGCAUGCUUUUUUAUUCUAAUACAAGCUAGAACGCUUCAAUUAGCAUUGCCCAGGCGCCACAUGGCAUCCAGAGAUAGCGUUUCGUUUUGUUGUCAUUGUGAUUGCAUUGCUUGAUCACUAUAAAGACUAAAAACCAGGAGAUCCACGCAUUAAAACUCUUAUUUAAAUGCUUGAGGAGAAAGUAUUGGUUUCUUCUCUCCUUGUGAAAAUGUGGCGCAGAUAGGUUAGGGAGAUAUUAGGUCAUUUUGGCAGACUCUGACGCCGUCUCGUGACAAGCAAGGAG
Molecule: long non-coding RNA, 927 nt
Organism: Silurus meridionalis
Lineage: Eukaryota; Metazoa; Chordata; Actinopteri; Siluriformes; Siluridae
Exons: 2
Source: RefSeq, a predicted model, not a curated record